Molecule: long non-coding RNA, 1585 nt
Organism: Homo sapiens (human)
Lineage: Eukaryota; Metazoa; Chordata; Mammalia; Primates; Hominidae
Exons: 2
Source: RefSeq, a predicted model, not a curated record
AGGCUGGCACUAGCCCGGGCCACGAUAGGUCGGACUACAGCUGGUAGCAACUGGGGGUCGGAAGUGGAGCCCAGACAACAGCGGAGGAGAAAUUUCCGGGGCAGAAAAUGAAGGUGUCCGAGAGACUGACAAUUCUCUUCUGACUUCCUCAGUGCUAACUGGCUUUGGGUAUCUCCUGCAGCAAAGUGGCCGCCCCGCCCUCUCAUCCCCUGCGACCCAGCACCCUUCUUCCUUGCCUUGAGGCUGCGCCUUAGACAGCCCGGGACUUAUUUUACAACAAGCCAAGCAUGGAAGCCCAGUUGUGGGAUUCUCUUCCACUUGGAAAUUACCUCAAGAUGGGUUAUCUGCAACCUGGCUACAACUGACAUAGUACCAGCUGGAACUCCAGGUGGACAAUAAUUCAAGAUAGCAUUUGCAGCAAGACAUGCAGACCUGCAUCCUGUACUACUUCUGUGUAUUUUUCAUGCCAAGCCUCUACUUUUAAAUCCCUCCCCUCAGCCGAAGACCUAAAAUGGUCUUUUAAAGAUAUGAGUCUGGCCAUUUCCCAGUUGGUAGCAUUUGAUAUAUAAAACUGCCUUCCUCUCACCACACCUCACUUCUUGAGUUUUCGGCCUCUGAGCAGCAAGCAGCCGCACUUCAGCCAGCUACAAGUAUAUGCUCAGAAGUUACAUUAAAGCAAAAUCAUAUCACCGUUUAGGUGCAAGAGUAUAUCUGGUUGUGGAUUACAGAGGCAUAAUCACUAACCGUGUCAGAAGUUGUCUUAUGUGUAGGAAAAGGCAAGGACUAGGGUCAUUUAUCUUUUAAGGAAUGUAGUGACUCAGGCAAGAGAUGUGGUGUCCAUGUGCUGUAUCCUUGUUUUAUCUUCAAAUCAUCCUUCUGGAGAGCUGCAUAUCAUUACAAAGUCAGGGCUUUGUGAAAUUUUGCUGGCAAGCAGAAAUGAACAAACACGGCUUCUUACAUUUGCAACUUUGUCUCACAACACACAUUGAAUUUUCUCUAAGGGACAUUUUUUAAGUGAAAGGGUGGCACAAGAAUAUGGGAGCUACACCGGAAAGGUAGAGUGAAGAUCUCCCUCAGUCUCACAGUGCUUGCAAUUCAAAGUCCUGCUAGAAGAAGGAUCAAGAAAAAAUUUAUUGUGUAAAUUAUAUACUUGGCUUUUGUCUCUGUUUCCUGGCAUAUAAUUCUUAAAAUCUUUGGAAUCUCCAAAGUGAUGUUGUUUUGUAUACUAACAAGUUUACUGAUGGCUAGUAGCCCCUAGGUAGCUUCAGGAUGAAGGCUGGUCAUAGAAGAAAACAAGACAUGAUUAAGAGGAUUGGGACUUUCAGCCCCAUCUCCAACUUCCAGAUAGGAUAGAGGGGUUGAAGGUUAAGUCAAUCAUGAAAAGCCAAUAGCUUCAUCAAUCAUGCCUAUGUAAUGAAGUUUCCAUAAAACCCCAAAAGAACUGGGUUUGGAGAGCUUCCAGAUAACUGAAUACGUGGAGGAUCCUAGAGAGUGACACACUCGUCGAAGCUCCUCCCCUUCUCCCAUACCUCACCCUGUGCAUCUCUUCAUCUGUUUUCUUUGCCCAAUAAACUGGUAAAGGUAA